RNAcentral lists this ribosomal RNA (506 nucleotides) under uncultured bacterium. RNAcentral's name for it is "partial 16S ribosomal RNA". It matches the Rfam family "Bacterial small subunit ribosomal RNA", at positions 29 to 523 of the family's 1533-position model. The record is from RNAcentral.
AGUGAACGCUGGCGGUAGGCCUAACCCAUGCAAGUCGAACGGCAGCACAGGAGAGCUUGCUCUCUGGGUGGCGAGUGGCGGACGGGUGAGGAAUACAUCGGAAUCUACUCUGUCGUGGGGGAUAACGUAGGGAAACUUACGCUAAUACCGAAUACGACCUAUGGGUGAAAGCAGGGGACCUUCGGGCCUUGCGCGAUUGAAUGAGCCGAUGUCGGAUUAGCUCGUUGGCGGGGUAAAGGCCCACCAAGGAGAUGAUCCGUAGCUGGACUGAGAGGAUGUUCAGCCACACUGUACCGUAGACACGGUCCAGAAUCCUACGGGAGGCAGCAGUGGUGAAUAUGGGACAGUGGGUGCAAGCCUGAUCCAGCCAUACCGCGUGGGUGAAGAAGGCCUUCGGGUUGUAAAGCCCUUUUGUUGGGAAAGAAAUCCAGCUGGCUAAUACCCGGUUGGGAUGACGGUACCCAAAGAAUAAGCACCGGCUAACUUCGUGCCAGCAGCCGCCGUAA